Molecule: long non-coding RNA, 244 nt
Organism: Drosophila nasuta
Lineage: Eukaryota; Metazoa; Arthropoda; Insecta; Diptera; Drosophilidae
Exons: 3
Source: RefSeq, a predicted model, not a curated record
AUACGACUAAAUCAAAUCUGAUUUCAAUGCAAUUUUGUGAGUCGCUUAAAGUUUCAAGAAAUUGCUUUUAUGGGGCAUUAAGUCAAUUUUAAUGUGGCAUGCGGCGUGUGGCAUGUGGUAUGUGGCAUAUGCAUGCCAGACAACCCAAAAUACAGUUGAUUAAGCGCAUCUAAUGAAUAGCAACGCCGAUACGUAUGAAGCUGCCGAAUGUUGCCAGACAAACAAAAAAAUAACUUUGGCUGUA